RNAcentral lists this ribosomal RNA (408 nucleotides) under uncultured bacterium. RNAcentral's name for it is "partial 16S ribosomal RNA". It matches the Rfam family "Bacterial small subunit ribosomal RNA", at positions 28 to 526 of the family's 1533-position model. The record is from RNAcentral.
GACGAACGCUGGCGGCGUGCUUAACACAUGCAAGUCGAACGAUGUGGCGAACGGGUGCGUAAUACUUGGGUAACCUGCCCUCCUUUUUGGGAUAAGCCUUGGAAACGGUGUCUAAUACCGAAUACAGGGGGAUGGGCUCGCGGCCUAUCAGCUUGUUGGUGGGGUGAUGGCCUACCAAGGCGGUGACGGGUAGCCGGCCUGAGAGGGUGACCGGCAACAUUGGGACUGAGAGAAGGCCCAGACGACUACGGGGGGCGGCAGUGGGGGAUAGGGAACAAUGGGCGAAAGCCUGAUGCAGCGACGCCGCGUGGGGGAUGAAGGCUUUCGGGUUGUAAACUUCUUUAGCUAUCGAACGGGUAGGUAGAGAAGAAGCGCCGGCUAACUACGUGCCAGCAGCCGCGGUAAUAC